Molecule: long non-coding RNA, 5145 nt
Organism: Callithrix jacchus (white-tufted-ear marmoset)
Lineage: Eukaryota; Metazoa; Chordata; Mammalia; Primates; Cebidae
Source: RefSeq, a predicted model, not a curated record
UUCAAACAUAAACCGUUGAAUUUCCCGGAUGGAGAGGGCUGGAGAGAGAUGGGACGGGGGAAUGGCGCUGGGAAAUUCUUGCCCUUAAAGCUACGCCCCCUCGUGGACCCGGAGGCAAGAAUUGAGGGGGAUGCAGACCCAUACAGAAACACUGCCAGUAUCAACAGACUUUUGCAGAAAGACAUGGGGAGAGAAUGAAAAAAAGAUGUGACGAGUAGAGGGAAGAAAAAGAAGAUGGAUGACAUGGUACCACAGUGGGACUGGAAAUUCAAUGUGAAGAAAAGAAGUUACAUCUCUGCUGUCUUAAAAAGUAAGUUUUUUAUUAUUUAAGCGUGGUGAAGCUAACAGAUUAAGAGGCAACUGCCAUUGAAAAGAUAGCUUGUUAUACUCACAUAUCCCAUGAGGAGGGGACAGGCCUCUCCAUCGGGCCACAUGGAAGCACUGGGGUGUGUCAGAAGGCAGAGGGAGCUGGUGAAAAUGUAGGCAAGAGUCUUUAAUGUGGUUUCUAUGAGGAGCAGCACAGGGCAGAACAUUUAGGUUUCGGUAAGUUCAGCAGGCUUGGGGGAGCAGAGCUGUCCCUGGCUGUUUGGUACCUGGCUUUGAGUGAUUAGAAAUGGUCUUGAGCCUGCUAGAGGAGGUGAUCUAAGGUGCCGCCUCUGUACUGGUUGGCUUGCAUAUGAAGGGAACUAGGAGUGGUUUGUUAUUUGUGGGAAUUACGUAACCCUAAAGAGGUCAUCCCUCCAGUGAUAACACUGUCCCAGAUGUGAAAGCAUCAAAAUACCUGAAACAAGAAGCCAUGGUUCCUACAGUACAAGGAUUUUGCUGCAUGGCAGAAAGUCAGAUAAUAAACCUUUGAUUACCAUUAGCUGAAAUCGCGGAAGUAGUGAGAAAUUCUAUAUGGCAUUUAUAGAGGAAAGGCCUAUUCUAGACCAGCAAUAAUAGAAUCCUUCCUUGAAAUAACGUGUAAACUGAGUCUUGAGGAGUAUAGAAGGCAAAGCGGGGAUGGAGCAUGGCCAGAAGGAGGGGGCAGAGUUCACAGCAUGUGCUAUGACCUGGACUUAUGAGUGUGUUUGGGAAGAUGCGUGUCAUAAAGGAGUCUAAUAUGACUGGAGUGGACAACAAGAGGUGAAUUAACAAGAGAAAGAUCAUUAGUCAGGCAACAAAUAUUGACUGAACAUCUAGGAAUCACGCUUUUGCUGUAAACUAGAGUUUGAUGAUGUGAGAAGGGUGCAAUUGUGGACAGCCUUGGAAUUCACGUAAAGCAGCUCAGAUUUUGUCUUAAGUUCAAAGGGAAUGCAUUAAAUGGUUUUCAGGGGCAGAAGGAAAGGCUGUGUUGCAAAAUGGGGAUUUGAUAUUAUCAUGUAACUCCAGAGCUGGCUCUGAGAUUCAUUGAAGAAGAAAAAAAGAAUUGACAGCAAGUGGAGGGGUAAAGGUUUUCUUUGAAAAGUAUUGGUUUUCUUGAUUUUGCAUACAUGUUCUUUAACAAUGGAGUCUGUAAUAUGUUUAAAAGUUUGUCAAGAGAGUUGAGGCUGGGCUCUAGGACAUCCUUGCAGCUGCUAUCAUCUCAAUAGCAAAGGAAAUGUUUUAUCUGCUCUUUCAUUAUGUGAAUGUAUUCUCAGUGCAAGUGGAAAAUGAUAAAUUGAAAAGCAUCUUUCAAGGUUGUGAAGCUGAUUAUUGCCUGCUUUGCAGCAAUGUUGUUUUUCUCUGUUUAUUUUUUGUACAAAGGGAGGAAUUGAAUCAAAACCUUAAAAACUGCUACAGGUAUAAGUAUGGUUGUUUGCUCUUGAAGUAUCUAAAUAAAUUUGUUUUUUAAAUAACCUUAUGCCAACAACCACUUGUUGAGGGUUCUCAAGAGUUUUAACUAUAUUACCACAUUCAUCUCUGCAAUUCUACAAGGUAGAUAAAGGAUGGGAAUAACAAUUUGAUAACAGAAGUUGUUGGGUAUUAAUUUUAAACAGGAGAAACUGCAAUUCCAACUCAGCUCAACCUACACAAAAGCCCAGGCUUUUCACUUCCAUGUUAUGGGCUCUGCCUCCAGUGUGCUGCGUCGUAUAACACGUAGUCUACGGGAAAGAGAACACCUCACAGCUGGGAAUCUUGUGGCAUAAUUCACAACACACACUGAGGGCAUCUGUUAGGUCACAGCACAGCUCCUGGCCUUGUCACCUUUACAAUAUUCAAUUUAAUUGGUGCUUUCCGGUGGCAAACAUCUCAUUUAGGCCGUUGCAAAGAUAACCCAGUUUCCUAUAUGAGCUUCUGUCCAUUCCAUCCAGAUGAAUAGGUGUUGUUUACUAAGAUUGCUGGACAAAGCCAAUGAAGUGAGGGCCAAUGAAGUCUUGCCAACAUGGUAAAGAUUCUAAGUCUUUCCCUAGGGCUCAUGCUGUUUCUGUGGUGGGAUUGUGGGGAGCGUAUCUUAAAUGUUUAUCUUCAGGCGCUUAAAUGACCCUCAUUCUUUAAUUCCAGUGAAUUUGGUAGGGUAACCAACAGACAAAUCAUCAUAAAAGGAAUUCAAAUCCAGGGGAAAUAAAUAAUCCCUGCUAGAAAAUGUCCUCAGGUACGCCAGAGAGCUAAACCGCAAAGGUUCCAGUUAGUAGCCACUCAUGUGUUUUAGCUUUUCAAAAGACAUUUUCCCUUUUGUUUAUUACAUUCACUUCAUAAAUGUUAAGGAAAUUUUUUAAAAAUUGCAAGAAAAAAACAAAGAGAAAGAAUGAAAGAUAGAUUAUCUAAUAAGAACCCAUUUCUGAAAACUUAAUUUACUUAUAGAGUUUAUGAAACAAAAUUUUAUCUGAUUGUGUUACUUUAAAAGAUAAUUUUACCUAAAGUUCAUAGUCAUACAGAAUCUGCAGCUACUUAUAUGAAAGAGUGCAGGUAAGGAUUAUCUCAGCGGAUAAAGCAUCAUUCUGGAUGUGUCAGUGAGGGCGUUCCUGGAGGAAACUGGCAUGCGAAUCAAUGGCCCGAGUGGGGAAGAUCUUCCCUUAAGAUGGGCAGACACCAUCCAAUCAGCUGAGGGCCUGGGUGGAACCAAACAGCAGAGGAAAGACAAAUUUUCUCUCUCUCUCAUGGAGGUAGAAUACCUUUCUUCACCUUAGAUACUCAUACUUAAGAUUCUCCAGCCUCCAGACUCCAGGACUUUCACCAGUAGCCCACCAACCCCACCUCCUGAGUUCUUAGGCCUUCAGCUCCAGACUAAGAGUUAUACCAUCAGCUUCCAUGAUGCUGAGGCUUUCAAAUUUGUACUAAACCAGCCAUAUUGCUGAAUCCCUGUGUCACCAGCUUGUAUACAACCUGUUGUGGGACUUCUCAACCUUCAUAAUUACAUGAGCCAAUUCCCCUAAUUAAUCCCAUCCAUCCAUCCAUCCAUCCAUCCAGGCAUCCAAUCAUAUAUCCAUCCAUCCAUCCAUCCAUCCAUCCAUCCAUCCAUCCAUCCAUCAUACUGUUGCUGUCUCUCUAGAGAACCCUAACUAUUGCCCAACUACCCUGAUGCAGAGCUUCCUAUUUACAUUGUGUAUGGCAGGUCAUAGUCUGGAAAGCAUCAUUAAAAAUGCACCAAUACCCAUUAGACCACAUAUCCCCAAUGACUUCAAAUCCCAUCUGUCUUGCCUGUCUCUGGUUCCAGCUGCUAUUGAGUGCCUUACUGCACGUGGGCUCCAACCAAUUGCAGCAAAGUGCCACCUGCCCCCAGCUCACCUCCUGUCUAGGCUACAUAAUCCUCCACCUCCCUAGUACUUCUGUUGAGGUGAAGAGGUGAGCAUCAACAAGCAAGACCCUAUUGCAGCUUGUACAACCUCAACCUGGAAGUGCUAGGAACUUAAUCCCUGUGUCACCAGCUUGUAUACAACCUGUUGUAUACAAAACUUUGACCAGUGGGAGAUGAGAACAGUAGAUUACUUCUUCCUUCAGGCACCUCACUGAACUGAGACAGAGUGACGUUUUGGAGAACGGUCUCCACACCCAGAAAUCAGCUGCAUCCUUUAGCUGCCUCUGUCACUUUCUCUGCUUCACUCUCCUUGCCCAUCACUCCUGCUCUCCAGGGCUGGCCAGUCAAGCAGUAGUACAUGGUGCUGCCUCAGGCUCUGCUUUACAGGAAAUCCAGACAUUUCCAUGAAUUCCUCAUUCCAAUUAUUUAUAUCUAUACAGUGUGUUUACAAAAGUGCUUUUAGAAUAAUAUUUUAUUGAAACUUUUAAUAAGAGGUUCUGGAAAGAAAGUCAAUGAGAAUAACUCAUUCAUGCCCAUGAUAAACUAUAAACCAAUUAUGCAAAACAGAUAAAUUCAAGCUUCUCAAAGUUCAUGAGUAUAAUCCACGCAGCUCUCCUGGGUUUUGACCACUAAGCCUCCCCUUCUUAGGUAUACUGUUGAGAUAUCACCAACCUUGUGUUUAAGAAGUUCUGCCCAUUUUUCAUCUUUGUUAUCUUCUUUGUUUUGAAGAUGACUUUGAAAAGGAAAAAUCUUGGGAAUCUUGUGGCAGAAUUCACAACACACACUCAGGCAUCUGUUAGGUCACAGGACAGCUCCCGGCCUUGUCACCCUUACAACAUUCAACUUAAUUGGUGCUUUCCAGUAGCAAGCAUCUCAUUUAGGCCUUUGCAAGGAUAACCCAGUUUCCUAUAUGACCUUCUGUCCAUUCCAUCCAGAUGAAUAGGUGUUGUUUACCAAGAUUGCUGGAGAAACCCAAGCAUUGGGAGCCAGUGAAGUCUUCCCAACAUGAUAAAGAUUCUCCUUUUCAAAUAUUUUUUUCAAAGAGGUUUCAAACUCUCUCUCAUUCUACAGUCAAUGUCCUAGACAUAUCCUUGUCUUAAAAGUACUGUGUGUUGGUUAUGGCCAUGGGUAUAGAGAAUGGCUACCUAGGUUCAUAAUUUCACCUCUGCCACUAACAAACUUUGUGAUCUUGCAUGAGUUGCUUAAUUUCCCUGAAUUUUUUCUCAUCUGCAAAAUUAUGAUAAAAAUAAUGCCUACAUCAAGACUAUAUAAAGAUUAUAUGUAAAUUCAAUUAGGGAAAUACCUAGCAAAUAUUCAACAUAUAACUAUACAUUUGUUGACUUAAAACUUUCACUUUUGCUACUAUAAUACUUUGGAGAAAAGAAUCACAACUUUAAGUUGGAAACACUUGUAUUCAAAUUCCAGUAUACAAUUGAAGAGUUGCUUCA